This 331-nucleotide small nuclear RNA is filed under the name Ailuropoda melanoleuca (giant panda). Its description in RNAcentral is "7SK RNA". It matches the Rfam family "7SK RNA". Rfam says of the family: 7SK was discovered as an abundant small nuclear RNA in the mid-70s but a possible function has only recently been suggested. Two independent studies have found that 7SK RNA binds the CDK9/cyclin T complex (known as elongation factor P-TEFb). The record is from Rfam by way of RNAcentral. Lineage: Eukaryota; Metazoa; Chordata; Mammalia; Carnivora; Ursidae.
GGAUGUGAGGGCGAUCUGGCUGCGACAUCUGUCACCCCAUUGAUCGCCAGGGUUGAUUCGGCUGAUCUGGCUGGCUAGGCGGGUGUCCCCUUCCUCCCUCACCGCUCCAUGUGCGUCCCUCCCGAAGCUGCGCGCUCGGUCGAAGAGGACGACCAUCCCCGAUAGAGGAGGACCGGUCUUCGGUCAAGGGUAUACGAGUAGCUGCGCUCCCCUGCUAGAACCUCCAAACAAGCUCUCAAGGUCCAUUUGUAGGAGAACGUAGGGUAGUCAAGCUUCCAAGACUCCAGACACAUCCAAAUGAGGCGCUGCACGUGGCAGUCUGCCUUUCUUU